UGUUGUUGUUGUUGUUGUUGUUGUUGUUUGAAGUGUAGUUGUUGUUGUUGUUGUUGUUUUCUCACUAAUUGUUUCAUUAUGUUUUCUUUUUCUCGCUUUUUUUUCCUCGUUUUAAAUUAAAAGUCACUUAACACUUUAGGUAUGUUCUUGGAUUUGAUCAAUGCUUUUAUUUUAUAGUGGAAUGAAAUAGUUUAAAAUCCCCAUAUAUUACAAGAAGCCCUUUAUUGUUACAUCUGCACAGAGAGGAAGGGUGGAAUAUGAACAACACACACACACACACACACACACACACACACAAAGUGUUGCUAAGCAAUGAAAAUUAAAAUGAAUGCUACUGCAAUUACGGCAUGACAACUUUGUAAUGGCUUCAAUCCUCUUUCUUUCUUUCUCGCUUUCCCUUUCUCUUUACUUUCAGUUUUCCAUACGCCCUGCUGUGCAAUAAGGCGUCAGUUCGAAGGAGGUGGGGGGAUGGGGGGGGGACCACAAAACAGGCUCUUCCCUGGUGAUUUCAGUCUUUGUGGCUGCAUACCGUGCCCUCCACUAAUAUUGGCACCCCUUGGUAAAUAUGAGCAAAGAAGGCUGUGAAAGAUUGUCUUUAUUGUUUAUCUUUUUGAUCUUUUAUUAAAAGAAUUCACAAAAAUACUCUGCUCUCAUGCAUAUCAAACUAUUCCAAACACAACACAGGUUUAUCCAAAAAACAUCUUUGUUUACUCUAUCACUAUAAUUAAUCUCAAUUCAUCCCACUAGUCAGUGUGUGUGUGGAUAUAUACAUUUGCUCAUUGUGUAUGAUGCUUAAUGGGUGGCUCAAUGGUCAAGGCUCUACGUUACUGACCAGAAGGUCUGGGGUUCAAGGCCAAGCUGCCGCUGUUGGGCCCUUGAACAAGACCCUUAACCCUCUCGGCUCCAGGGGUGCCAUACUGUAUCAUAUCUGACCCUGCGCUCUGACCUAUACUUCCUAACAAGCUAGGUUAUGCGAAGAAAAGAACUGUGCCAAAUAAAUGCGUCUUCUUCAUGGGUGAUGUUCCGAACCCCCAUACGGACCUCAGCCAUGGCGCGGAGGUAACCGUUAACGAACGGCUCACGCUUACAUCCACAGCACCACCACAUCCCGAGACAAAUCUUUAGGGAUGUGAUUCUUACGGAAUCACCCGUCAGACAGAUUCACUGCAUUAACGUUACUCCAGUGCUAAUCCGUCCGGGUUCUGAUAUCUAAAUUACAUCCAGCUAAAUUAAACGGAGCAAGCGACGCAGCGGUGCUGAAGAAUAUCGGACCUCCUGAGAGGUUUUCCCGAACGAGAGCUGACUUCUUAAUUGAGCGUGAAAUCAAAGAGUGGAUGUUUUGAUUCGACAGCAGAGAAAAGUUAUCACAGGACACAAAUUCAGAGGACUGUACCGU
This is a long non-coding RNA of Ictalurus punctatus (channel catfish), 1396 nucleotides long. NCBI's taxonomy places the organism in Eukaryota, Metazoa, Chordata, Actinopteri, Siluriformes, Ictaluridae. The record is from Ensembl.